ACGCGAGCUGGUUUCAGAACGUCCUGAGACAGUUCGGUCCCUAUCCGUCGCAGGCGUAGGAAAUUUGAGAAGACCUGUCCUUAGUACGAGAGGACCGGGAUGGACGUACCUCUGGUGUACCAGUUGUCCUGCCAAGGGCAUGGCUGGGUAGCUAUGUACGGAAUGGAUAAGCGCUGAAAGCAUCUAAGCGCGAAGCCAACUUCAAGAUAAGAUUUCCCACCGCAAGGGUAAGACCCCAGAAAGACUAUCUGGUUGAUAGGUCGAAGGUGUAAGUGCAGCAAUGUAUUUAGCUUAUCGAUACUAAUAGGUCGAGGACUUGACCAAU
Molecule: ribosomal RNA, 325 nt
Filed under: Clostridioides difficile
Lineage: Bacteria; Bacillati; Bacillota; Clostridia; Peptostreptococcales; Peptostreptococcaceae
Description: bacterial LSU rRNA
Rfam family: Bacterial large subunit ribosomal RNA
Source: RNAcentral